This 2897-nucleotide ribosomal RNA is filed under the name Klebsiella pneumoniae. RNAcentral describes it as "bacterial LSU rRNA". It matches the Rfam family "Bacterial large subunit ribosomal RNA". The record is from RNAcentral. Lineage: Bacteria; Pseudomonadati; Pseudomonadota; Gammaproteobacteria; Enterobacterales; Enterobacteriaceae.
UUAAGCGACUAAGCGUACACGGUGGAUGCCCUGGCAGUCAGAGGCGAUGAAGGACGUGCUAAUCUGCGAAAAGCGUCGGUAAGGUGAUAUGAACCGUUACAGCCGGCGAUGUCCGAAUGGGGAAACCCAGUGCAAUUCGUUGCACUAUCGUUAACUGAAUACAUAGGUUAACGAGGCGAACCGGGGGAACUGAAACAUCUAAGUACCCCGAGGAAAAGAAAUCAACCGAGAUUCCCCCAGUAGCGGCGAGCGAACGGGGAGCAGCCCAGAGUCUGAAUCAGCUUGUGUGUUAGUGGAACGGUCUGGAAAGUCCGACGGUACAGGGUGAUAGUCCCGUACACCAAAAUGCACAGGCUGUGAACUCGAAGAGUAGGGCGGGACACGUGGUAUCCUGUCUGAAUAUGGGGGGACCAUCCUCCAAGGCUAAAUACUCCUGACUGACCGAUAGUGAACCAGUACCGUGAGGGAAAGGCGAAAAGAACCCCGGCGAGGGGAGUGAAAAAGAACCUGAAACCGUGUACGUACAAGCAGUGGGAGCACCUUCGGGUGUGACUGCGUACCUUUUGUAUAAUGGGUCAGCGACUUAUAUUCUGUAGCAAGGUUAACCGUAUAGGGGAGCCGCAGGGAAACCGAGUCUUAACUGGGCGUUAAGUUGCAGGGUAUAGACCCGAAACCCGGUGAUCUAGCCAUGGGCAGGUUGAAGGUUGGGUAACACUAACUGGAGGACCGAACCGACUAAUGUUGAAAAAUUAGCGGAUGACUUGUGGCUGGGGGUGAAAGGCCAAUCAAACCGGGAGAUAGCUGGUUCUCCCCGAAAGCUAUUUAGGUAGCGCCUCGUGAAUUCAUCUUCGGGGGUAGAGCACUGUUUCGGCUAGGGGGUCAUCCCGACUUACCAACCCGAUGCAAACUACGAAUACCGAAGAAUGUUAUCACGGGAGACACACGGCGGGUGCUAACGUCCGUCGUGAAGAGGGAAACAACCCAGACCGCCAGCUAAGGUCCCAAAGUCAUGGUUAAGUGGGAAACGAUGUGGGAAGGCACAGACAGCCAGGAUGUUGGCUUAGAAGCAGCCAUCAUUUAAAGAAAGCGUAAUAGCUCACUGGUCGAGUCGGCCUGCGCGGAAGAUGUAACGGGGCUAAACCAUGCACCGAAGCUGCGGCAGCGACACUAUGUGUUGUUGGGUAGGGGAGCGUUCUGUAAGCCUGCGAAGGUGUGCUGUGAGGCAUGCUGGAGGUAUCAGAAGUGCGAAUGCUGACAUAAGUAACGAUAAAGCGGGUGAAAAGCCCGCUCGCCGGAAGACCAAGGGUUCCUGUCCAACGUUAAUCGGGGCAGGGUGAGUCGACCCCUAAGGCGAGGCCGAAAGGCGUAGUCGAUGGGAAACAGGUUAAUAUUCCUGUACUUGGUGUUACUGCGAAGGGGGGACGGAGAAGGCUAUGUUAGCCGGGCGACGGUUGUCCCGGUUUAAGCAUGUAGGCUGGUUGUCCAGGCAAAUCCGGAUAAUCAAGGCUGAGGUGUGAUGACGAGGCACUACGGUGCUGAAGUAACAAAUGCCCUGCUUCCAGGAAAAGCCUCUAAGCAUCAGGUAACAUUAAAUCGUACCCCAAACCGACACAGGUGGUCAGGUAGAGAAUACCAAGGCGCUUGAGAGAACUCGGGUGAAGGAACUAGGCAAAAUGGUGCCGUAACUUCGGGAGAAGGCACGCUGGUGUGUAGGUGAAGCCCCUGCGGGUGGAGCUGAGACCAGUCGAAGAUACCAGCUGGCUGCAACUGUUUAUUAAAAACACAGCACUGUGCAAACACGAAAGUGGACGUAUACGGUGUGACGCCUGCCCGGUGCCGGAAGGUUAAUUGAUGGGGUUAUCCGUAAGGAGAAGCUCUUGAUCGAAGCCCCGGUAAACGGCGGCCGUAACUAUAACGGUCCUAAGGUAGCGAAAUUCCUUGUCGGGUAAGUUCCGACCUGCACGAAUGGCGUAAUGAUGGCCAGGCUGUCUCCACCCGAGACUCAGUGAAAUUGAACUCGCUGUGAAGAUGCAGUGUACCCGCGGCAAGACGGAAAGACCCCGUGAACCUUUACUAUAGCUUGACACUGAACAUUGAGCCUUGAUGUGUAGGAUAGGUGGGAGGCUUUGAAGCGUGGACGCCAGUCUGCGUGGAGCCAACCUUGAAAUACCACCCUUUAAUGUUUGAUGUUCUAACGUUGGCCCUUACCGGGGUUGCGGACAGUGUCUGGUGGGUAGUUUGACUGGGGCGGUCUCCUCCCAAAGCGUAACGGAGGAGCACGAAGGUUAGCUAAUCCGGUCGGACAUCAGGAGGUUAGUGCAAUGGCAUAAGCUAGCUUGACUGCGAGCGUGACGGCGCGAGCAGGUGCGAAAGCAGGUCAUAGUGAUCCGGUGGUUCUGAAUGGAAGGGCCAUCGCUCAACGGAUAAAAGGUACUCCGGGGAUAACAGGCUGAUACCGCCCAAGAGUUCAUAUCGACGGCGGUGUUUGGCACCUCGAUGUCGGCUCAUCACAUCCUGGGGCUGAAGUAGGUCCCAAGGGUAUGGCUGUUCGCCAUUUAAAGUGGUACGCGAGCUGGGUUUAGAACGUCGUGAGACAGUUCGGUCCCUAUCUGCCGUGGGCGCUGGAGAAUUGAGGGGGGCUGCUCCUAGUACGAGAGGACCGGAGUGGACGCAUCACUGGUGUUCGGGUUGUCAUGCCAAUGGCACUGCCCGGUAGCUAAAUGCGGAAGAGAUAAGUGCUGAAAGCAUCUAAGCACGAAACUUGCCCCGAGAUGAGUUCUCCCUGAGACUUUAAGUCUCCUGAAGGAACGUUGAAGACGACGACGUUGAUAGGCCGGGUGUGUAAGCGCAGCGAUGCGUUGAGCUAACCGGUACUAAUGAACCGUGAGGCUUAACCU